AAAAAAGGUAAGCUACUAAGAGCGAAUGGUGGAUGCCUUGACUGGUAAAGGCGAUGAAGGACGUACUAGACUGCGAUAAGCUACGGGGAGCUGUCAAGAAGCUUUGAUCCGUAGAUUUCCGAAUGGGGCAACCCAAUGUAUAGAGAUAUACAUUACCUAUAUAGGAGCGAACGAGGGGAAUUGAAACAUCUUAGUACCCUCAGGAAAAGAAAUCAAUAGAGAUUGCGUCAGUAGCGGCGAGCGAAAGCGUAAGAGGGCAAACCCAGUGCUUGCACUGGGGGUUGUAGGACUGCAAUGUGCAAGAGGUGAGUUUAGCAGAACAUUCUGGAAAGUAUAGCCAUAGAGGGUGAUAGUCCCGUAUGCGAAAAACAAACCUUAGCUAGCAGUAUCCUGAGUAGGGCGGGACACGAGAAAUCCUGUCUGAAGCUGGGUCGACCACGAUCCAACCCUAAAUACUAAUACCAGAUCGAUAGUGCACAAGUACCGUGAGGGAAAGGUGAAAAGAACUGAGGUGAUCAGAGUGAAAUAGAACCUGAAACCAUUUGCUUACAAUCAUUCAGAGCACUAUGUAGCAAUACAGUGUGAUGGACUGCCUUUUGCAUAAUGAGCCUGCGAGUUGUGGUGUCUGGCAAGGUUAAGCAAACGUGAAGCCGUAGCGAAAGCGAGUCUGAAUAGGGCGCUUAGUCAGAUGCUGCAGACCCGAAACGAAGUGAUCUAUCCAUGAGCAAGUUGAAGCUAGUGUAAGAACUAGUGGAGGACUGAACCCAUAGGCGUUGAAAAGCCCCGGGAUGACUUGUGGAUAGGGGUGAAAGGCCAAUCAAACUUCGUGAUAGCUGGUUCUCUCCGAAAUAUAUUUAGGUAUAGCGUUGUGUCGUAAUAUAAGGGGGUAGAGCACUGAAUGGGCUAGGGCAUACACCAAUGUACCAAACCCUAUCAAACUCCGAAUACCUUAUAUGUAAUCACAGCAGUCAGGCGGCGAGUGAUAAAAUCCGUCGUCAAGAGGGAAACAACCCAGACUACCAGCUAAGGUCCCUAAAUCUUACUUAAGUGGAAAACGAUGUGAAGUUACUUAAACAACCAGGAGGUUGGCUUAGAAGCAGCCAUCCUUUAAAGAAAGCGUAAUAGCUCACUGGUCUAGUGAUUUUGCGCGGAAAAUAUAACGGGGCUAAAGU
RNAcentral lists this ribosomal RNA (1172 nucleotides) under Campylobacter coli. RNAcentral's name for it is "partial 23S ribosomal RNA". It matches the Rfam family "Bacterial large subunit ribosomal RNA", at positions 1 to 1188 of the family's 2925-position model. The record is from RNAcentral. Lineage: Bacteria; Pseudomonadati; Campylobacterota; Epsilonproteobacteria; Campylobacterales; Campylobacteraceae.